UACGUAGGGAGCUAGCGUUGUCCGGAAUCAUUGGGCGUAAAGCGCGCGUAGGCGGCCCGGUAAGUCCGCUGUGAAAGUCAAAGGCUCAACCUUUGAAUGUCAGCGGAUACUGCCGGGCUAGAGUCCGGAAGAGGCGAGUGGAACUCCUGGUGUAGCGGUGGAAUGCGCAGAUAUCAGGAAGAACACCAACGGCGAAGGCAGCUCGCUGGGACGGAACUGACGCUAAGGCGCGAAAGCGUGGGGAGCGAACAGGAUUAGAUACCCGGUAGUCC
RNAcentral lists this ribosomal RNA (272 nucleotides) under uncultured prokaryote. Its description in RNAcentral is "partial 16S ribosomal RNA". It matches the Rfam family "Bacterial small subunit ribosomal RNA", at positions 524 to 796 of the family's 1533-position model. The record is from RNAcentral.